GACGAACGCUGGCGGCGUGCUUAACACAUGCAAGUCGAGCGGUAAGGCCUUUCGGGGUACACGAGCGGCGAACGGGUGAGUAACACGUGGGUGAUCUGCCCUGCACUUCGGGAUAAGCCUGGGAAACUGGGUCUAAUACCGGAUAUGACCUCCUAUCGCAUGGUGGGUGGUGGAAAGAUUUAUCGGUGCAGGAUGGGCCCGCGGCCUAUCAGCUUGUUGGUGGGGUAAUGGCCUACCAAGGCGACGACGGGUAGCCGACCUGAGAGGGUGACCGGCCACACUGGGACUGAGACACGGCCCAGACUCCUACGGGAGGCAGCAGUGGGGAAUAUUGCACAAUGGGCGAAAGCCUGAUGCAGCGACGCCGCGUGAGGGAUGACGGCCUUCGGGUUGUAAACCUCUUUCAGCUGGGACGAAGCGCAAGUGACGGUACCUGCAGAAGAAGCACCGGCUAACUACGUG
Molecule: ribosomal RNA, 462 nt
Filed under: uncultured bacterium
Lineage: Bacteria
Description: partial 16S ribosomal RNA
Rfam family: Bacterial small subunit ribosomal RNA
Source: RNAcentral